UUGAUGGUCUCUUUUACAUGGAUAACCAUGGUAAUUCUAUGGCUAAUACAUGCGCACAGGCCUCCUUCUUUGGAGGGGCCGUGUUUAUUAGAUACAAAACCAACCCACUUUGUGGAGCCUUGGUGAUUCAUAGUAACCGAACGGAUCGCAUUUGGCUUUAGCCGGCGAUAGAUCAUUCAAGUUUCUGACCUAUCAGCUUUCGACGGUAGGGUAUUGGCCUACCGUGGCAUUGACGGGUAACGGGGAAUUAGGGUUCGAUUCCGGAGAGGGAGCCUGAGAAACGGGUACCACA
RNAcentral lists this ribosomal RNA (292 nucleotides) under Cyclospora cayetanensis. RNAcentral's name for it is "partial small subunit ribosomal RNA". It matches the Rfam family "Eukaryotic small subunit ribosomal RNA", at positions 121 to 414 of the family's 1831-position model. Lineage: Eukaryota; Apicomplexa; Conoidasida; Eucoccidiorida; Eimeriidae. The record is from RNAcentral.